CUUUCAGGAAUAUAGAGAGACACUCAGCUGACCUGGGGAAAUUACAAGCUGCUUGACCAAUAAGCUCAUUAUCUUGUUUUUGACGGAGAAAGAGCUGAGGAACAAAGAUGACAAAUAAAACCCCAGCUGUGAGGUGAAAGAAAUCUUAACCUUGGCUCACAGGCCCCCUUCCAAAGCUACGCAGUGUGUGGGGAUCCGUGAGCUGCCAGUUCUGGUCAGAAAAUCAUAAAGAAGUCUCAGAAUUACUUCCUAGGCGAGGGUCUGCUUCAGAGUCACACAGAGAUGCCUCUUGCUUUCACCUCUGUACCCAUCUCAUUGCCUCUCUUUGAAUCCAGGCUUGAACACUGUGCAAGCAGAAUAAGCAGGCAUUCUCUUCAAUUAGUUCUGAAACCAUCUCAAUGAUUUUGGGAAAACAAACUCCCCACAAUCUGGCAACAAGGUGUCCAGCAGGGGUUAUUUUUAAGUCUGUUUCUUAGUUUCCUGCAGAAUACACUGAGCAUGCCAAAAGGCUUCAAAGCUACAGUUAUGGCAUCAGCGACAGCUCUUCAGCUAGCCUGUGCUUCGACCGAAAACAGCACAAACAGAAAAGUCAGCCAAGCCACGAGGGGCCUGGUCAAGCGUCUAACAGUGUAGGAUCGCUGCCUAACAAGCAGGCUCCUACUACAAUACAGCCUUUGAAGUGUCUUGAAAAUAAAUCCUAUGUUUGGAAAACAAAGCCCUCUCUCCAGGCCCAGACUCACCCCACUCACCCCGCCCUCAUCCCUGUUUCACUGAAAAGCUACAAAUGAAAAAGCACUUGGAUAUUUAAAUAUUUUCAUAUAGAGUAACAUUUUUCU
Long non-coding RNA from Sapajus apella (tufted capuchin), 836 nucleotides. RefSeq lists it as uncharacterized. The transcript has 3 exons. The record is from RefSeq and is a predicted model, not a curated record. Lineage: Eukaryota; Metazoa; Chordata; Mammalia; Primates; Cebidae.